UAACCGGAUAGCUCGACGGAGCAAAAAGCGGGAGUCGUUACCCCGUCUCCGGUUAUUCCUUUCGUAACG
Molecule: non-coding RNA, 69 nt
Filed under: unclassified sequences
Description: int-alpA RNA
Rfam family: int-alpA RNA
About the family: Acidobacteria (1 example), Planctomycetes (1 example), Proteobacteria. Environment (Lake Washington)
Source: Rfam by way of RNAcentral